Molecule: ribosomal RNA, 1340 nt
Filed under: uncultured bacterium
Lineage: Bacteria
Description: bacterial SSU rRNA
Rfam family: Bacterial small subunit ribosomal RNA
Source: RNAcentral
GACGAACGCUGGCGGCGUGCUUAACACAUGCAAGUCGAACGGUAAGGCCCUUCGGGGUACACGAGUGGCGAACGGGUGAGUAACACGUGGGUGAUCUGCCCUGCACUUUGGGAUAAGCCUGGGAAACUGGGUCUAAUACCGAAUACACCCUGCUGGUCGCAUGGCCUGGUGGGGGAAAGCUUUUGCGGUGUGGGAUGGGCCCGCGGCCUAUCAGCUUGUUGGUGGGGUGAUGGCCUACCAAGGCGACGACGGGUAGCCGGCCUGAGAGGGUGUCCGGCCACACUGGGACUGAGAUACGGCCCAGACUCCUACGGGAGGCAGCAGUGGGGAAUAUUGCACAAUGGGCGCAAGCCUGAUGCAGCGACGCCGCGUGAGGGAUGACGGCCUUCGGGUUGUAAACCUCUUUCAAUAGGGACGAAGCGCAAGUGACGGUACCUAUAGAAGAAGCACCGGCCAACUACGUGCCAGCAGCCGCGGUAAUACGUAGGGUGCGAGCGUUGUCCGGAAUUACUGGGCGUAAAGAGCUCGUAGGUGGUUUGUCGCGUUGUUCGUGAAAACUCACAGCUUAACUGUGGGCGUGCGGGCGAUACGGGCAGACUGGAGUACUGCAGGGGAGACUGGAAUUCCUGGUGUAGCGGUGGAAUGCGCAGAUAUCAGGAGGAACACCGGUGGCGAAGGCGGGUCUCUGGGCAGUAACUGACGCUGAGGAGCGAAAGCGUGGGGAGCGAACAGGAUUAGAUACCCUGGUAGUCCACGCCGUAAACGGUGGGUACUAGGUGUGGGUUUCCUUCCUUGGGAUCCGUGCCGUAGCUAACGCAUUAAGUACCCCGCCUGGGGAGUACGGCCGCAAGGCUAAAACUCAAAGAAAUUGACGGGGGCCCGCACAAGCGGCGGAGCAUGUGGAUUAAUUCGAUGCAACGCGAAGAACCUUACCUGGGUUUGACAUGCACAGGACGCCGGCAGAGAUGUCGGUUCCCUUGUGGCCUGUGUGCAGGUGGUGCAUGGCUGUCGUCAGCUCGUGUCGUGAGAUGUUGGGUUAAGUCCCGCAACGAGCGCAACCCUUGUCUCAUGUUGCCAGCACGUUAUGGUGGGGACUCGUGAGAGACUGCCGGGGUCAACUCGGAGGAAGGUGGGGAUGACGUCAAGUCAUCAUGCCCCUUAUGUCCAGGGCUUCACACAUGCUACAAUGGCCGGUACAAAGGGCUGCGAUGCCGUGAGGUGGAGCGAAUCCUUUCAAAGCCGGUCUCAGUUCGGAUCGGGGUCUGCAACUCGACCCCGUGAAGUCGGAGUCGCUAGUAAUCGCAGAUCAGCAACGCUGCGGUGAAUACGUUCCCGGGCCU